UGGUGUAGCUCAGUUGGUAGAGCAGCUGAUUUGUAAUCAGCAGGUCGGGGGUUCGAGUCC
This 60-nucleotide transfer RNA is filed under the name pig gut metagenome. It matches the Rfam family "tRNA", at positions 3 to 60 of the family's 71-position model. From Rfam's summary of the family: Transfer RNA (tRNA) molecules are approximately 80 nucleotides in length. Their secondary structure includes four short double-helical elements and three loops (D, anti-codon, and T loops). RNAcentral also lists the same sequence under 1 other name. The record is from RNAcentral.